This 340-nucleotide ribosomal RNA is filed under the name Tropocyclops bopingi. Its description in RNAcentral is "partial 16S ribosomal RNA". The record is from RNAcentral. Lineage: Eukaryota; Metazoa; Arthropoda; Copepoda; Cyclopoida; Cyclopidae.
CAAUAGUUUAUUAAUUGUAUUCCUGAAUAAAAAAAUAAAUUUAAAAAAAAAUAGUUAUAAUAAAAUAAAAAUUAAGCUUAAAGUGAAAACUCUUUAGUAAAAUUUUUAGACGAGAAGACCCUAAAAUCUACAUAUAUUGGGGUAAUAAGAUUAAGUAAUAAUACUUUAAAAAUUUAGAGACCCUAAGAAGCUUAAAAAAGAUACUUUAGGGAUAACAGCAUGAUUCUUGUAAAUGACCAAAUUUAUCAAGUAAAAAUGACCUCGAUGUUGAAUUAAAUAAGUUACCCUAGGGAUAACAGCGUUAUUUUUCUGGAGAGUUCUAAUCGAUAGAGAAGUUUGC